Molecule: ribosomal RNA, 855 nt
Filed under: uncultured Clostridia bacterium
Lineage: Bacteria; Bacillati; Bacillota; Clostridia
Description: bacterial SSU rRNA
Rfam family: Bacterial small subunit ribosomal RNA
Source: RNAcentral
AAAGAGAUCUCGUUCCGAGUGAUCUUUCCCGAGUUAGUGGCGGAUGGGUGAGUAACGCGUGAGUGACCUGCCCGGCGGUGGGGAAUAACACUGAGAAAUCAUUGCUAAUACCGCAUAGCUUACAAGUGCUUCAUGGUACCUGUAAGAAAGACGGCCUUCGUGCUGUCGCUGUUGGAUGGACUCUCGUCUGAUUAGCCAGUUGGUGGGGUAACGGCCUACCAAAGCAAUGAUCAGUAGCCGGCCUGAGAGGGUGAACGGCCACAUUGGGACUGAGACACGGCCCACACUCCUACGGGAGGCAGCAGUGGGGAAUCUUCCGCAAUGGGCGCAAGCCUGACGGAGCAAUGCCGCGUGAGUGAAGAAGGCCUUCGGGUUGUAAAACUCUGUCCUCAUCCAAGAGAAGGAAAGGUAGUAACUGGCCUUUCCAGGACGGUAGAUGAGGAGGAAGCCCCGGCUAACUAUGUGCCAGCAGCCGCGGUAAAACAUAGGGGGCAAGCGUUGUCCGGAAUCACUGGGCGUAAAGGGCGCGCAGGCGGUCUGUUAAGUCAGAUGUGAAAGGUUAGGGCUCAACCCUGAACGUGCAUCUGAUACUGGCAGACUUGAGUAUGGAAGAGGUAAGUGGAAUUCCUAGUGUAGCGGUGAAAUGCGUAGAUAUUAGGAGGAACACCAGUGGCGAAGGCGACUUACUGGGCCAUAACUGACGCUGAGGCGCGGAAGCGUGGGGAGCAAACAGGAUUAGAUACCCUGGUAGUCCACGCCGUAAACGAUGGGUACUAGGUGUCGGAGGUUUCAAGACUGUCGGUUCCGCAGUUAACACAAUAAGUACACCGCCUGGGGAGUACGGUCGCAAGACUG